This 433-nucleotide ribosomal RNA is filed under the name uncultured bacterium. Its description in RNAcentral is "partial 16S ribosomal RNA". It matches the Rfam family "Bacterial small subunit ribosomal RNA", at positions 29 to 507 of the family's 1533-position model. The record is from RNAcentral.
AACGAACGCUGGCGGCAGGCUUAACACAUGCAAGUCGAGCGCAUCCUUCGGGGUGAGCGGCGGACGGGUGAGUAACGCGUGGGAACGUGCCCUCGUCUACGGAAUAGCCUCGGGAAACAGAGAGUAAUGCCGCAUACGCCCGCAAGGGGAAAGAUUUAUCGGAGGAGGAUCGGCCCGCGUUGGAUUAGGUGGUUGGUGGUGUAACGGCCUACCAAGCCGACGAUCCAUAGCUGGUUGGAGAGGAUGAUCAGCCGCACUGGGACUGCGACACGGCCCAGACUCCUACGGGAGGCAGCAGUGGGGAAUCUUGGACGAUGGGGGCAACCCUGAUCCAGCCAUGCCGCGUGAUCGAUGAAGGCCUUAGGGUUGUAAAGAUCUUUCAGCUGGGAAGAUAAUGACGGUACCAGCAGAAGAAGCCCCGGCUAACUCCGUG